AGACCCGAAACCCGGUGAUCUAGCCAUGGGCAGGUUGAAGGUUGGGUAACACUAACUGGAGGACCGAACCGACUAAUGUUGAAAAAUUAGCGGAUGACUUGUGGCUGGGGGUGAAAGGCCAAUCAAACCGGGAGAUAGCUGGUUCUCCCCGAAAGCUAUUUAGGUAGCGCCUCGUGAAUUCAUCUCCGGGGGUAGAGCACUGUUUCGGCAAGGGGGUCAUCCCGACUUACCAACCCGAUGCAAACUGCGAAUACCGGAGAAUGUUAUCACGGGAGACACACGGCGGGUGCUAACGUCCGUCGUGAAGAGGGAAACAACCCAGACCGCCAGCUAAGGUCCCAAAGUCAUGGUUAAGUGGGAAACGAUGUGGGAAGGCCCAGACAGCCAGGAUGUUGGCUUAGAAGCAGCCAUCAUUUAAAGAAAGCGUAAUAGCUCACUGGUCGAGUCGGCCUGCGCGGAAGAUGUAACGGGGCUAAACCAUGCACCGAAGCUGCGGCAGCGACACUGUGUGUUGUUGGGUAGGGGAGCGUUCUGUAAGCCUGUGAAGGUGUGCUGUGAGGCAUGCUGGAGG
RNAcentral lists this ribosomal RNA (571 nucleotides) under Escherichia coli. RNAcentral describes it as "partial 23S ribosomal RNA". It matches the Rfam family "Bacterial large subunit ribosomal RNA", at positions 711 to 1279 of the family's 2925-position model. The record is from RNAcentral. Lineage: Bacteria; Pseudomonadati; Pseudomonadota; Gammaproteobacteria; Enterobacterales; Enterobacteriaceae.